UUUUUGACAGGCAGAGUGGACAGUGAGAGAGAGACAGAGAGAAAGGUCUUCCUUUGCCGUUGGUUCACCCUCCAAUGGCCACCACGGCCGGCGCACCGCGCUGAUCUGAAGCCAGGAGCCAGGUGCUUCUCCUGGUCUCCCAUGGGGUGCAGGGCCCAAGCACUUGGGCCAUCCUCCACUGCACUCCCUGGCCACAGCAGAGAGCUGGCCUGGAAGAGGGGCAACUGGGACAGAAUCCGGUGCCCUGACAGGACUAGAACUUGGUGUGCCGGUGCCGCAAGGCAGAGGAUUAGCCUAGUGAGCCGCAGCGCCGGCCUGGCCUUUCGUUCUUGAAGUUUCUCUGUCUACCCACAACCCCCUGCUCUUCUGUUCACCCCGUGUGUCCCCUCCUGGGUCCUAUCACUUUGUCCUAACACUGCGUGGCCCCCUCACCACCCACUUGUUAGCACCGAGUCAUUCUGAUGGCUUCCUUGGGGUCCAGGUGAAGCUGCCUACAGUGUGUUCUAGAACAGUCCACAGAAGCGUAGGACAGUCGAGUUCAGCCUCACAGCACAGCAUUGCAGUUUUCAGAGCGACGCGGUUGUGAGCCUCUCACGAGCGAAGAGCAAGAGCAGAGCUGGCUUGCUGCUCGCUUCUUAGGGCGGGGAAGCUGAUCCCAGCGACAUCCAGUCGUCUCCCCAGGCCCCCCGCCCGUGUGUGGAGAUGCCGGAACCUGAGCCCUGUGCCCGAGCUCCGUGCUCCCGGCACAGAGCCCUGCUCCACCUCACCAACGCCACGUAGGCACUGUGUGUUUACUCUGCUUAUCUAUACGCACGUGGCUUUCUGUAUUGGGCGAAUGGGAGAGAGGGCAGGGUGGGGGUUGGGAGCAGGUUGGAACCAGAGAGCUAUAAUUAAUUCCUUCUCCCACACAAACCACUGAAAUACCACAUAGAAUAAACAGCAUCGCCCGCAAAAAUGCCAUGAUUACACAGUGUUGCUUCAUGUUCGAGAAGAGAGGGGUGGGGGUGGCACUAAUUAACAGGUGGGGAUGGAAUAUUUGCAACAUACUAUUACUGGUAAUAGAAUUAUCUUCACCCUGCGGAUCAUAAUGGCGAUGUAGGGAUCCUCCCAGCUGUGCAUCUGGCCGUGCCUUGCAAGACAGGAACACCUCUGAGAGGUCGGGCCCCUUUCAGCUCUUGAUAACCCCCUCCAAUGGUGCAUGGAGGGGUGAAGAGUGGGGCGCAGCUCGGGUGGAGGAGGGGUGCGUGCAUCCACCAGGGGAAGAGCGACACGGCUGGGCCGGCGUGCCUCACCUAUUUGCUGUCCCAAGUCCAAAGGAAGAGGACAAUACACCUCUGUUCCCAAAGGCCAAAAGGAGCAAACCCCCAGCAGCUGUCCGUCGCCGCCUCCGGCUCCCAUCCGCCCCUCCUGAGUGUGUUUCCCGAAGGCGGCCCUUAACUGUUCAGCCCCCUCCUCACUCACAGAUCCUGAAGGCCAGAGUGAGCGGCAGGGCCCCGCUGGUCCAUGCUUGUCACACGCUAGAGGAAGAAGCAGAUCCUCAGGAGAUGGGGGCGGGGGCAGAUUGGGGCUAGGGAAGGUGCAGCCCGUAGGCCGAUCACUGCCUUCAACACAGCCUUGUCUGGCCGCAGACAAGAAGCCACUCCAGAUGGGACCUCACGCAAAAGAAAGGUGGGCUAAGCCUCAGCGAAUGGGGAUUUUCUUCGACACGGAGUUGGCGUAAUGAGCACGUAGCAGGCUGUGGGAAGUCCAUGGCACACCAAGGGAAAGAUCCUGAAGGAGGUCCGUAUUGCAGGAGUGAAAAUGAGAGUGAAGUGGGGACGGCUUCCCCAGUCGCUGUAACUCAGGGGUUGAAGUCUCCGUCAGUGCUGCGCGGGGACAGUGGCACUGAAACAGUGGGGAUCGCUGUCACUCAGUGAAGGGAAGGAGAGCGCCCAGAGGACAAAAUGGCAUCAGAUUGAACUCCUUGGAUGUCCUGUGAACAGGGUUGAGCAGGGGUAAAGAAAUGUGGGACUAGCGUCACCACCACCAUCGCUGUCACCGUGGUGUCAGCUUCCUUCGUUGAAAGCUACAGCUGCUGUGGAACGUGAACCCCCAUGGGUACCUGCAGUGAUGAGCCCCGCAGUUUUCUCUCCAGAAUCAUGGGGAUGAGCUUCAUUUGUCUUCUUUCCCCCAAGACAAAAAAACUGGAGAGCGGCCUCGGAAGCCUAGACAAGCGCUUCCUCCCGGUAGUGUCUGGGCUUCCUCUGACAUCCGGGUCGUGAGGGCGCCUGUACUGCAGCCACCCCUCUGUUGGCGGCUCAGCCAGAGGAGUGUCACUUCCCCGGGCCUGGCCGCUCCAGCGAGCCCUCAGACAGACAGACCUCACACAGUGCUGCUCUCCGACUCCGAAUGAGCCGUGUUCCAGUUUCUCCGUAGCGUGGCAGUUCAGAACUCAGAAGGCAUUUUCUGACAGUGACCAUGAGCUGGUCCUCUAGCCAAGGAGUGAGCGUCCAUCCGGCUCAGCUGUGAGUGAGCCGGGAGUGAGGUGCCUGUUCCUGCUUUCAGCUCUGUCAGUGGCUGCUCCUGUGACCCUAAACAAGUCGUUUAGUCUUUGUCCCUGCUGUUCUCACCUGAAGGCUGAUCAUCUCUGUAUCGAUAAUUAGCAAGUUGAAUCAUGAUUACAAAUCCUUCUAUGCGAACUGCGGUGCCAGCCAGGGUCAGCAGUGGGGGUGUCCUGCCCCCACUUCCAUAGGUCUGGGAUGUGAGGGACUCAGAAGAUUGGAACUGGAAUAUCGGCUCCCUGGCAACUGGGCCGCAGGGGAAAUGGAAGAGGCCCAGCGUGGCUGCACCAGGCUCUGCAUGGGGUCAUUUCCCGAGCCAGGAGAUUGGAGUGGGAUGGUUUGGGGAGUGAGGGGUGCACAGGCGUUUGGCGGGGGCUCUUCAGUACACCAGGGACUUGCCAAGGAGGCUUAACCAGAGCUGAGUAGCAUCACAGGCCGACUUCAGGAUAUUUGGGGUCUUUGCUUGACAUUUACAGUCUAGAACUUUGAGGCAAGCCUAAGCAGAGGGCAGAGUUACAUUCUGGAUACGCAUUUUGAAAAGCAGGAAGCCGUCUCUUCUCUCAAGCGUUGGCCCUCUGGAUACAGUGUGGGUGAGGGAUCCCUGUUUUGCUGUCCCCAGAUCCUGUGCGCUGGACUCCGGGAAGGUGCAGGAGCCAGGACUCAGGAAUCCGUGGGGAUCGGCCCUUCUCCCUCCUCUUCACUUCUUUCUCACCUCCUCCAUCACUCCCCAUGCCUCCUCCUACCACAGUGGGGAUCCUUUGUCCUCCAGGUUUGGAGCCUAAGACACCAAUGUAGUCUUUUCACAGCACCAUCUGUACAAGCACGGGGGAGGCAAAUUAGACUAUUAGGCAGGGAGCAGAAACGUGGUUUGCUGGAGAAUCCCAUGCUUUCUGCAAGCUGCAGGGGGUGCACAGGAGGCUCCAGUGAGCCGUGCCCUGAUGGCCUCCGGUAGGAGCUCAGAGAGCUGGCUGGUGACGGGUGGCUGUCGUCCAACCCUCUCAUCUACUGAGAACCUGACACCCCGGAAAGUGCCCUGACUUCUCCAAGAUCACAGAGCUGGGGCUAGCAGAAGCAAGUCACUGAGCCUGGUGUUUGUGACUGUACAUUUCCCCGGAGGGCAGAGAGAUGGCGCAAAGGGCAUCCUCAUCAGCCACAGAGCGCCAGCUCCGCAGGUGGCCCGAAUUCGCAGGCUGCGCGGUGCAAUCAGUGUGCUCUGAAUUUGUGGGCAUCCUUGAUUCAGCCCCUGCUUGCUGCCUUCGCUGUUCUGUUUAAAUUUGGAAAGGUUUCCCAUUAAUGCACAUUCUGGCCAGAUUUGUCUCCUGUGUGCUGGCGGGCCUCCUGUGUUCUUGCUCCUUCAGCUGCUUACCCUGCGUCACCAUCGGACCUCGCUUCACCUCAAGUUAGCCCAGGCCAGGGCGAGGGCUUCCCCGUAUGCCUGGCCUUUGGCUGUGGUCACCUCCUGGGACCUCAGCCCAUCCCUGACCUGAGCCACCCUGGGCUUGGUUGCCAGAAUGGGGACCUAAUGGGAAACGCGAUGCCCAAAUAUGUCAGCUGAUAGGGCAGGCACACGACGAAAGCUCGGGCCUCUGCCUCCCAGCCUGGUGCUCUUCCAGGCACGCCACGAGACUGCAAGGAUCCCUCCACAUUCAUAGGAUCUGUGUCCAGGGAUCCAACCUACCAUGUGUCGAAAAUAUUCAGAAAGAUAAAAUUACAUCCCUAUGGAACGUGUGGACUCUUGUCAUUAGUUAUAAAAAUAUACCAUGACAACUAUUUACAUGGCAAUGAUGUUGUAUUAAGUAGUAUAUGAAGGUACUUAAAGCAUUCGUAGAAAACUAGCAUUAAAAUACGAGUUUCUGGGGCCAGUGCCAUGGCACAGUAAGCUAAGCUUCCACCUGUGGCUCCAGCAUCCUGUGGGUGCCGGUUCGAGACCCAGCUGCUCUUCUUCCAAUCCAGCUCUCUGCUAUGGCCUGGGAAAGCAGUGGAGGAUGGCCCAAGUCCUUGGGCCCCUGCACCCAUGAGGGAGACCCGGAAGAAGCUCCUGGCUCCUGGCUUUGGAUUGGCCUAGUUCCAGCCAUUACAGCCAUUUGGGGAGUGAACCAGCGGAUGGAAGACCUUUCUGUCUGUCUGUCUCUCUCUGUCUCUAACUUACUGUCAAAUAAAUAAGUAAAAUCUUUUUAAACAUAAUGAGUUUCUUUUGAUGCAAAAUAAUUUUGUAAUCCAUGCAUACAUGGGGGCUUCAAACAGUUUAUGGGAAACACAUAUUAUGAAAAACUAUGCAUGAAUUUCAAAAUUUUCUGCACCAGAAUAAAUUUAGCUCUUAAUUUCAUUUUUCCACGAGCAAUUUGAAGUGAAGAGAUGACUGAAGUCGUCUAGGAGAAUUUACUCCUACUAUCUGCAGACACUACGCAUGUUACACAGGGGUUGAGCGUCUGUGGAUUUUGGUGUUGGGGGAGGUACCUGGAACUGGCCCCCACAGACACUGAGGGACAGCCGUGCAAGUAGGGUCGUGUCUGUUCCUCAGACCUUGUGCUAAGUGAAUGUUCCCUAUUUCACAAGUGUCCUCAGAGGGUGCCCGCCUUUCACUGAGUUUGCUGGACACUCUGGGCCUCUGCUGGGUAACUAGUUUCACACCUGUCUGCCAAUUCUUGGGAGGUGGUUUGCAGGCCAUGAUUUGUUGGCCGCCUCUGCUUGCACGCUGAGCUACACUGGGGGUGAGGGACAUCGCAGCCUCUCUGUAACCUGCAUCUCCCUUCCUCUGCUCCCAGGGAUUCUCUGCUUUUCUUUCUUUAUUAAGUGAUGUCUUAUUUUGAGUCUUGAGAUUUUCAUUGUUCUUUCCUUCCUUGUUACACCUAAAAAAUAAGUGUGGCAGUAUUUUCUAUGUGAAAAGAAGACUUAGUGGGCAACCAAAAGACACAUUCAGGAACUGGAAAAGCAAGGCGCCCGCUGUGUGUCCAACUGUGUACUGAGUUCUGGGAAUACCAAGAGGAACCUGAGCGGAUUCUGAGCUCACGGGGUCUGUGUGCAGUGGCAGCCACAGGCACAGGCGCAUGGCGUGAGGCUCUGUGGGUCUGCCACUGCCUGCUGUGGCGAUCCUCCCAGCUCUAGUCUCAGAUCAAGCCUGGGGGGCUCACUGCUUAUAGCUUUUAUCUUUCCUGCAUUUAUUUACUGGAUGAAAAGAAUAGAGGAACAUCCAAGCUGAGACUGACAUCAGAAGUACGGAGAAGCUUCUGUGUCCCCCACCUCUUCUGUCUUCAGUUCGCCCUUCUCUGAGCUCCAAGCAGUGCCCUCUCCCGGCUUAUUUCUCCAGUACACUUCGUUUUUCUGCCUUUUCCCUUUGCUUCAACUUGGGCCCUGGGACGUCCAUGGCCUCUUAGCUUGGGUCAGUUUUGCCCUUCCUUUACGAAGACUGUCUUUUCUUUCGUAGAACCUCCUGUCUCCGCCUCUUUGUUCCAGGCUGGGAAUACACCCACCUUUCCCCAGAAUAGCAUCUUUAGCCGGUACUCUCAUUGUAGGCAGCUGGAAGAUUUACAUCAGAGUCUAUCGUGCAAGUUUGGGCAGAGGUGUUUCAAGUUCUCUCGACAGCGAGGAUCUCCAUAUCAAGAGCUCAGCCAGCGCUUCCUGGGGCCACGGGGAGCGUCAGGAGAAAGCAGACUUUGAGCUGGGCCUUGCGGUGUGAGUAGGAGGGCAGGGGAGCGCUCUAAAUGUAGGGAAGUCACCAGGGGGACAACACAGGCACAGCGGGUGUGUGGCGGUCACGGCCCUGGCCUGUGCUCUGUGUCCCAGCCCAGAUGGUAACCAGUUAUCCCCCCACUCUAUUUAACCUUCUCUCAAGGGCUAAGGAUCCUGCCAGCCUGCAGCACUGUUAGGGAGACAAAAUAUGAACCAGUGGCCAUUAAAGGCCCAAGUCUGUAAUGGGGAACUGGUUUUCUAGGGCAGCUGUAGUCUGAAAGCCUCCAUCCUCUAAUUCUACCCAGUGUCAAGGAAUGAUUUUCAAAAACUAAAAAAACAUGGCUCGGGACAAAAGGAGAACGGCCACGUUUCGAAAUUGUAUUCAACUCAUUCCUUAGUGGAGGCGCAGUAGAUGGUCAGGCUGACUCAGAGGCCGGGAAGGAGCAGGAGUUUACGUAUUCCGUGGGGGAAGCACUUGAAAUAGGCGAGAAUCCGAUAAAACGGCCCGUGCGCCGUGGGGCAGAAGCCGCGGGCACACAGGUCACCUCUCCACAGGGUUCUUCUGCUUCUGUUUCUACAGGACCACACUCGUUUGCCUGACUUUGGAAAGAAUCCGUUCUCCACUGGCAGUUUAACAACAUUAACAUGUACCCUGAUGAGCUGCAAAUACCCUAAUCGAUAGGAAAUAGCAAACCAAACAAGGCACAGCACCCCCCCCCAAAGGCCCGGAGAACUGCAGGUAGCCGUCUCCCGGCACUACAGGAAAAAGACCCCCAAAACCUCCUUUGCUGCGUCUCCAGAUCUGGGAGGAUUUUUUCCAAAACCAGGAACGCCAGCCUUGGGGAUACUUUUUCUUCAUUUCCAAGAACAGCAAACGUUUGUUGGGUCCUUCGGUAUGCAAGAAUCCCGCUGUGCUGUGCUUAGGUCCCAGGGAAAGGCGGGGCGGGGUCCUGCCCUGCCAUUGCUCCCGUGUGCAGACGAAGAAGCCUCGUGGGGGGAGGGAGCAAAGAGCAGGAGGAGCGCCGUCGCUCUCUGAGCAGUUUCCUGGACACCAAACAGGUAGACAGAUGUGGAAUGAGCGAGACGGACAGACCAGUGCACACAGAUGUCACAGCCUUGGCAAGUGUGGGUGUGUGAUUAUCGCAGCUCCAACCAAGCUGUUAUUACAGGCACUUAGCCGUGCCAGGGCAAGGCCUGGGCAGCCGAAGCACGCAGAGCCCUGAGUGUUGACAGCACUGCGUCCGUGAAGGGUUCUGGGUUAUAAGCAGAAGGAGUAGAAAGGAGAGAGAAUCCUACUUAGUUGUUUGUUUUUCAUGUAACUCCUGUAAAGAGGAAGCACUGCCCUUGGCAGGACCGGAGCUGUUCUAGGCGGCAGGCUGGCCCCGCGCGGGAGGUGAGGACACAGCCUCUCCCCUCUGUGAGGCCGGCAUCAAUGGCGUUUGCCCCAGGUUUGCGGCUGUCUGGGAGACUGCCAAAGCAAAAGGCCGAGACCAGCGCGUGGUGCCCUGGCCUUCCCGGAGGCUCCCACCGGGGAGGUCAGCAGGGCCGUCGCUCCUACGGCUGGCGAUGACACAGACAGCAGUCUGCUGUCAGAGGGACCAGGUGGCCCCGCUCUGCUUAGAUGCUGUGUGAUCCUGGAAGCCGAGCUUCACUUGUUGUUUGUGAAUGCGCACGGUAGGCUACUUUCUGAUUUAAUCUGAUAACGUGUCAAGGGCCCUUUCCAGGGUGGACAUGGCGUGGCCGGUCAGAGCAGGACCCCGGAGGUGUCAGAGCUGCCACCCGCCCGUGUCGAGGGGCACAGCUGCUGCAGACAGAGAAUGGCGCCCUCAUUCACCAGUGCAAGCCCCUGUGGUCGGAAUCGCGUCUCUGCCCCUUGCUGACCGUGACCCCGGGCAAGGUCCUCCAUUUCUGUGUCUCGGUUUUCUCUUUAUAAAACGGACAUAACGAUAAUGGAAGCUCUGUCCAGUAGCUGUGGAAGCACGGAGUGGGAUAGUCUACACGGGGCACUUAGGGAGCACGGUCCACCCUCAGCCAUCAUGAGCUUGGGUCUUGUUAUGGCAAAUCCCCGUCUCUGGCGCUCCCUGUUGCCUCAGGAAGAAAGCAGUGGUGAGCAGUGGCGAAGAUCCGAGUUUCUGCAGAGGGAUCAAGAACUCUCCCCAAAACACGUCUGUUCACCCCCUGGUUCCUUAGUGCACGCAGGGAUGCAGUCGCUGGCGGGCCAUCCUGUGGGCCCAUGGGCACCCUAGGCAAUGAGCAGGAUGAGGAGUUUAUCCCCAUUGUAUUCACUUCCCUGCAAGCUGAACCUGGGCCCUCCUGAGAAGCUAGAUUACUUCUCCAGGUGGUGCACCUGCCCCUCUGCCCAGAAGUGACAGCAGCUCCGUCACCUCUCAGACAGCAGAGGGGCCACCCCAGAGGUAGAGGUGUGUGCUACCACAGCAGUGGCUCUAGGGCCCCCCUCUCCCUGCUAUGGAACCCCCAGAGGUAGAGGUGUGCACCACCACGGCUGUGGCUGUAGGGCCCCCCUCUCCCUGCUAUGGAACCCCCAGAGGUAGAGGUGUGCGCUACCACAGCAGUGGCAGUAGGGCCCCCCUCUGCCUGCUCUGGACCCCUCUGGGUCCCUUUGGGGUGUGCAUGGGGCUUUCAGAUGUCCUGAAGCUGCCUUGACAGGCUCCACAGAUAGAUUCCAUUGUAAUAGAUGUGUCAGGGCAUCAAGAUGUGUGUGCUGCAUUGGAUCCUCGUUAACACUGACGCCUGUUGCCCCAGGGCGCCGAGGCGCUGUGCUGCACUUUUUAUUGUUUCCUAUCUGUUUUCCUGACGCUGGGCUGUGCAGGAUCACAAGGCAGAUGCCGUGGCCGCCCAGCUCUUUCCGCCCUGGCAUUUUGCAGCUCGCACGUGUUCGGUGCACGCUGCUUGUUAAAUGUUACGUUGGCAGAGUCUCAGAAGCCCUCACCAGCACUCUGAAGUCUGCUUUGCUUUCUGGCAGCGUUUGGGGGCUAUUUCUGCUGCAGCCUUUCUCACUGUGGUUUCGUCUUCUGUGUUCUGGCUUCUUCUCCAUCUUGGCCCCAUGAAGCUGCCUCCUGAAGGUGCCGGAAGCUCCUCCCUCUUCCGCUCACUAGCUUGCCCUGCGCUCUUCACGCGGACGCUGCACGAGACUAAGCCCCUAAUCCGCUCUCCCGGAGUGCUCCAGGGUUGGCUGUGAAAGUGGUGACUCCGGCUGCCUCCCAUGAAUGCCAAGUGUUUCUAAUGGAAUAAAACAACCAGUUCAACCCCCAUCCCACGGAGAGUGGAGUCGGAGUUUGUUUAUCGUGGCACAGGGGUUCUUAUACAAAUCCUACACGUACUUGCAUGCGCUAGGUCCAAGGGAUCGCGUUUGCACAACUUUGAUUUCCUCCUAGAAAGACAGACGUUAGUUGCAAUGAGUGUCGCAUGCUGACACUUGAUAAAAUGCCUUGUAUUCUAACUCAGAUGAGAGAAGCUGUUUGCGUGGGAGCUGGUUUUGCUCUAUGGUACUAGACCUUGGCAUGUCAUUUGUUACAAUAAAACUUCUCUCAUGAACACCACAUAACUCAAGUUGUGAAGUUGAAGCAGAGCUGUUUACAAGUCAUGCUAUUCUAGGGUUCAUGCCUCCAGGAUACAUAAACUAGAGAUAAAAUAGUUGAUAGGCUGUUUCUUUAUAAUGAACUAGCCAAAGAAAUGAAUGUUUUGAAUGGGGCCAGGGAAGGGAGGGAGGGAGUCUGCCACCUCCGACUCCCAGGUUCUGUGAGCCAGAGGUCAGCCGACCAUGUCCCCUCGUGGGCCAAAUCUGGGUGCACCUGUUGGCUUACGUCUUGUCCACUGUGCUUUGCACUGCAAUGACAGAGCAGAGAGCAGAGACUCUGUGAUCAUAUAGCUGAUCUGAGCUUAGAAUUGUGACUUCUAGAGGCUGCAGAGGGUGGGGCGUGAGAGAAGGGAGAGGCUGGAGACUGGGCAUCAAAACCCAGUGGACGAAGGUGACGGGUUCUAGUGUUCUGAGAACGGUGGAGGUAACUGAAGCUGACAACAGUGUGUCGUCUUCUGUACAAAUAACUGGAAGAGGGAGGAGCAAAGAGAAGGGCGUGGAAGGCUACUUGCCUGGUCUGACCAGUUAACACCGUGUAUGUGUGUUGAAGUAUCGUACUGUAUCCCGUAAAAACAUAUACCUCCUGCAUGUCAAUUCAGAAUUUACAAAAAGGGCCCAUAUAGCCUUUAAAGCCUAAAAUAUUUACUGCCUGUCCCUUUACAGAAAAACUGCUGAUCCACACUCUAAGCUGAUGGAUACGUCUGUGCUCUUUAGCAUCCAUGGGAAAACUUGUUGGUAGCGUUGGUCCAUGAAAUAUUUAACUUGGGCCAGCGCCGCGGCUCACUAGGCUAAUCCUCUGCCUGUGGCACCAGCACCCCGGGUUCUAGUCCCGGUCGGGGCGCUGGAUUCUGUCCCGGUUGCCCCUCUUCCAGGCCAGCUCUCUGCUGUGGCCAGGGAGUGCAGUGGAGGAUGGCCCAAGUGCUUGGGCCCUGCACCCCAUGGGAGACCAGGAGAAGCACCUGGCUCCUG
This is a non-coding RNA of Oryctolagus cuniculus (rabbit), 10776 nucleotides long. The record is from RefSeq and is a predicted model, not a curated record. NCBI's taxonomy places the organism in Eukaryota, Metazoa, Chordata, Mammalia, Lagomorpha, Leporidae.